UAAAAUCAUGGACAUGGACUUAAUUACAUGUAACUAGGAAAAAAAGUCUGGAGAACAAAUUUUACAACCGGACCAAAUUUACUGUUACACUAUUCCAACUAAUUUAAUAUGACGUCUGGCAAGGCGUCCCAUAAAAAAAAUAAAAAUAGCCUUGCCAGACGUCAUAAUUAUUUGGACUACUGUUACACUAGGACCACAGGCACUAGACGUUCCCCCUUUUAUUAAUUUCUUGAUUAGCUACUGUCACGGUGUAUUUGUAUAUACAGAAGAAUUCUAGAGUUUUGUAUCACUUUGACAGUCAAAUCCUGACACAGUUGUAGGAAGGCGUCCCAGAAAAAAAUUAAAAUAGCCUUGCCAGACGUCAUAAUUAUUUGGACUACUGAGUGACACAGCAGACCAACCAGAGACAUAUAUACAUGUAUAUAUGUCUCUGGCCCAACUGAGACCAGAUACCAUUUUUAUUCAUGAGUUAUGAUCAGUAUCAGAUAUAAAUGAGGGGGAGGACAGGGAUAAGGGAGACAGGGAGAAAGGAGGUAGGAGAAAGGGGUGGGAGAAAGGGGGAUAGGAGAAAGGAGAGGAAGGUUGGGAAAAAGGAGAAGUUGGAGAAAAAAAUAAAAUAUGAAAAAAUAAAAUAUCUCUUUUUUCCGGUAAAUUAAAAAAAAUAAAAUAAGGAGAAGAGGGGUAGGAGAAAGGAGAAAGGGGUAGGAGAAGAGGGGUGAGAGAAGGAAAAAGAGUACCCCCCUGUCCUCCCCCUCAUAAAUGCAUUUUCAGAUCCUUUUUUCGCUUGUUCUAUUAAAAUCUUACCAC
Molecule: long non-coding RNA, 807 nt
Filed under: Mytilus galloprovincialis (Mediterranean mussel)
Lineage: Eukaryota; Metazoa; Mollusca; Bivalvia; Mytilida; Mytilidae
Source: RNAcentral